RNAcentral lists this transfer RNA (77 nucleotides) under Candidatus Altimarinota bacterium. Its description in RNAcentral is "Candidatus Gracilibacteria bacterium tRNA-Met". It matches the Rfam family "tRNA". Rfam says of the family: Transfer RNA (tRNA) molecules are approximately 80 nucleotides in length. Their secondary structure includes four short double-helical elements and three loops (D, anti-codon, and T loops). Further hydrogen bonds mediate the characteristic L-shaped molecular structure. tRNAs have two regions of fundamental functional importance: the anti-codon, which is responsible for specific mRNA codon recognition, and the 3' end, to which the tRNAs corresponding amino acid is attached (by aminoacyl-tRNA synthetases). tRNAs cope with the degeneracy of the genetic code in two manners: having more than one tRNA (with a specific anti-codon) for a particular amino acid; and 'wobble' base-pairing, i.e. permitting non-standard base-pairing at the 3rd anti-codon position. Lineage: Bacteria; Candidatus Altimarinota. The record is from RNAcentral.
GCCAAUAUAGCUCAGCCGGUUAGAGCACGAGAUUCAUAUCCUCGAGGUCGGUGGUUCGAGUCCACCUAUUGGCACCA